Long non-coding RNA from Anas platyrhynchos (mallard), 1012 nucleotides. RefSeq lists it as uncharacterized. The record is from RefSeq and is a predicted model, not a curated record. Lineage: Eukaryota; Metazoa; Chordata; Aves; Anseriformes; Anatidae.
UUCCUAAACUGGGUGGCCCUUCCAUCUUCCAUCUUCGUAUGAGCUCGUCAUUCCUCGGAUCAUUCUCAUAUCUCUUUUCUGUCCAAUUUCCCAUGUAAGCUCACCUUUACAGACAGCCUGUGUUGUAGGGGACAAGAUAUAUCACCUGUACUUCUCUGACACUUUAUCACCUGAUGGGUGACACUUUCAUGGCUGAUGAAGUUGGAGUCAUCCUAUAAUCCACUAAUACUGCAGACCUUCCUCAAGCUAGUGUUCCCAGCUCUUUAUCGCUAUUUGUCAUUUCCAACUGAUAAAGUCUCAUUUUACACCUGAAGCAUGUACUGUUGGUGACCGUGUGCUUGAACUUGUACUUUUUUUUCCACAGUUCUAUGAACUCAUUCCUCAAGACUGCGCCUUGAUAUAAAAAAUAUACGGUCUUCAGCUUCCCUAUGCAGCCUAUGGAUGGAUGCAGCAACAUCCUGAACCUACAUGUAUGUAGUGACACCAGGAGAGAAAAUAAGAUUGUGUUCAGAGUCAGGCCUUCAACAGUGGAAAGUUCUGUGUAAAUUAGAUCUUAGAGAAGUAUUUUUUUGCUGCAUCAUGCUAAUACAUGACUAAUAGCUAUACUAGCAAGGUAGAAAGUAAGUGAUGAAGACUGUGUGUUCUGUGGAUUGGCUCCAGAAGGAAUUUAAACAUAUGCACAACAGACUGUGUUUAAGGCAUUCUGAGUACACCAAAAGAUAUAUUUUAUUACAGGCCUGGUUAAUAUGAAAGGAAAAUGGCCAUAAUUUUGACAUGGUAAAAUAAGAAAAACAUUUUUACAGAACUAUUCAUUCAUCUGAAGAUUCACUACUUCCUUUAUGCAUUCACUGGAAGACAUUUCACUGUUUCCUUUGUGAUUUAUUUCUUUGAAUCUUGUCUGAUUAAACACUGUAAGAUUUAUUUCUUCAAUAUUAUAUUCCUCAUGGAAUUUUAAUUGUAGAACAGUGGAAAAAGAGCUGGAGCAGAAUAAAAACAUAUUGAUUUAAUUCAA